This 1675-nucleotide ribosomal RNA is filed under the name Escherichia coli. RNAcentral describes it as "bacterial LSU rRNA". It matches the Rfam family "Bacterial large subunit ribosomal RNA", at positions 1270 to 2925 of the family's 2925-position model. Lineage: Bacteria; Pseudomonadati; Pseudomonadota; Gammaproteobacteria; Enterobacterales; Enterobacteriaceae. The record is from RNAcentral.
AUGCUGGAGGUAUCAGAAGUGCGAAUGCUGACAUAAGUAACGAUAAAGCGGGUGAAAAGCCCGCUCGCCGGAAGACCAAGGGUUCCUGUCCAACGUUAAUCGGGGCAGGGUGAGUCGACCCCUAAGGCGAGGCCGAAAGGCGUAGUCGAUGGGAAACAGGUUAAUAUUCCUGUACUUGGUGUUACUGCGAAGGGGGGACGGAGAAGGCUAUGUUGGCCGGGCGACGGUUGUCCCGGUUUAAGCGUGUAGGCUGGUUUUCCAGGCAAAUCCGGAAAAUCAAGGCUGAGGCGUGAUGACGAGGCACUACGGUGCUGAAGCAACAAAUGCCCUGCUUCCAGGAAAAGCCUCUAAGCAUCAGGUAACAUCAAAUCGUACCCCAAACCGACACAGGUGGUCAGGUAGAGAAUACCAAGGCGCUUGAGAGAACUCGGGUGAAGGAACUAGGCAAAAUGGUGCCGUAACUUCGGGAGAAGGCACGCUGAUAUGUAGGUGAAGUCCCUCGCGGAUGGAGCUGAAAUCAGUCGAAGAUACCAGCUGGCUGCAACUGUUUAUUAAAAACACAGCACUGUGCAAACACGAAAGUGGACGUAUACGGUGUGACGCCUGCCCGGUGCCGGAAGGUUAAUUGAUGGGGUCAGCGCAAGCGAAGCUCUUGAUCGAAGCCCCGGUAAACGGCGGCCGUAACUAUAACGGUCCUAAGGUAGCGAAAUUCCUUGUCGGGUAAGUUCCGACCUGCACGAAUGGCGUAAUGAUGGCCAGGCUGUCUCCACCCGAGACUCAGUGAAAUUGAACUCGCUGUGAAGAUGCAGUGUACCCGCGGCAAGACGGAAAGACCCCGUGAACCUUUACUAUAGCUUGACACUGAACAUUGAGCCUUGAUGUGUAGGAUAGGUGGGAGGCUUUGAAGUGUGGACGCCAGUCUGCAUGGAGCCGACCUUGAAAUACCACCCUUUAAUGUUUGAUGUUCUAACGUGGACCCGUAAUCCGGGUUGCGGACAGUGUCUGGUGGGUAGUUUGACUGGGGCGGUCUCCUCCUAAAGAGUAACGGAGGAGCACGAAGGUUGGCUAAUCCUGGUCGGACAUCAGGAGGUUAGUGCAAUGGCAUAAGCCAGCUUGACUGCGAGCGUGACGGCGCGAGCAGGUGCGAAAGCAGGUCAUAGUGAUCCGGUGGUUCUGAAUGGAAGGGCCAUCGCUCAACGGAUAAAAGGUACUCCGGGGAUAACAGGCUGAUACCGCCCAAGAGUUCAUAUCGACGGCGGUGUUUGGCACCUCGAUGUCGGCUCAUCACAUCCUGGGGCUGAAGUAGGUCCCAAGGGUAUGGCUGUUCGCCAUUUAAAGUGGUACGCGAGCUGGGUUUAGAACGUCGUGAGACAGUUCGGUCCCUAUCUGCCGUGGGCGCUGGAGAACUGAGGGGGGCUGCUCCUAGUACGAGAGGACCGGAGUGGACGCAUCACUGGUGUUCGGGUUGUCAUGCCAAUGGCACUGCCCGGUAGCUAAAUGCGGAAGAGAUAAGUGCUGAAAGCAUCUAAGCACGAAACUUGCCCCGAGAUGAGUUCUCCCUGACUCCUUGAGAGUCCUGAAGGAACGUUGAAGACGACGACGUUGAUAGGCCGGGUGUGUAAGCGCAGCGAUGCGUUGAGCUAACCGGUACUAAUGAACCGUGAGGCUUAACCUU